UUCCCCAAUCCAACCCUAACCUCUCGCCCUGCCGCCUGCGCCGCCAAAUCCAUCUUCGCCUCCGACCUGGCGAAGCCGCCGACCACCGUCCCCAUCCCCUGCAUUCCGAAGCUUCCCGACCACCAUCCCAAUCCCGUCCGGGAGCCGGCCCUACUCCAGCCUCCACUUCCCUCUCUGUCACGCCCGGAGGAUCUGUUGCAGGCUCCUUCACAUCGACACCAAGCUGCGCCGUCCAUUGCCUGCUCCGAUCACCGCGCCACGUCUCCUCCACCAUGUGAUUCUUGGCGACCAUCGCCCCAUCCAUCUCCGGAACCUUCCCCAGCUCUCUGCACGACCCAAGUCUGCAGCAGAUCUUGGUUUCUACUUCAUAUAAGAACACGGGUACAAGUUCCAUCUUGAUAAAUACAUCACUACUUUACUAGGAAUCUAAUUUCUCUUCAUUUUGCAGGUUCUGUACUGAAACUGUUUUUUGUCUACGUUGCAAAAUUGGUGCACAUGGAGUUAGAUCUAAUUUCUCUUAGUCAUUAGACUUGAUGCAGCUUCGGUACUAAUAUCUCUGAAACUAUUUGUAAUGCCAAUUUGGGAAAUUUUGGUAGUAGUAUCUCUUCACAUUUGUUUGAGCCCUUUCCAUUUCCUUUCUAUCACGCAUAACUCCUGCCACUUUUACUAAAGCAUCAAGUAUAUUUGGCUAGGAAAAAUGGAUAUGCUGAAAAGAAAAGUUUUAUCAUCAAUAAUCAAGUUUUUUAAUAUAUAUACUAGAGUACCAUGUUAUGCCUUGUAUGCUGUAGAUCAUCUGAUUUGUGUUGAGCCAGUAGCCAUAUGUUGGUUCAGUCUAAAUCUUACUUCAUUGGUUUUUUGCUGAUUGUAUCAGCCAGAUGAAGAAAAAUAAUGAGAUUUUUUUGUGUUCUUCCAUUGCAGAACUAACUUGCGUGAAAGUAUUGUUGCUACAUCACAAUUAUGUUGAAACUCACUGUUUCAGCACACACAUCCUCUUGAGGUUUGGUAGUACUAUUUUCACGAAGGUCCAUAUUGAUUCUAAGACGUUGUUUAACUUGGAAGGGUGCAUUCAAUAGAACUUCUCGUGUUGGGCCCAAGGUAUGCCUCAGUUUUCAUGGCUUUGUCUUUUCACUUUGCAAGAGAAAGGCUUGUGGCAUGCAUCAGAUGGUCUUUCAAAUGCAAUUUUAUUAUACAUGGGUAUCGUCGUAUCGAUCUUUCGCAUAGCUCAACACCUCCUAGCCUUUUUAGGGAUGUUCUUGCGAAAAUUCUGUAUUUUGUGGGAUACUUGGUUUAUCUUGUACAGAAAUCUGAUUGUAAAUAAUGACGAUGAGAAAUACACGUACACCCACUGAAGGAAUUGAGAAUAUGAACCACAUCUAACUUGCUCUAGUUUCCAUUAAGCCUCGACAUGCCAACCUCAGAAUAUAAUUAGUGAGCGUUAAACCUGCAGAACCUAAGUAGCACUUUCUGAAUUCUUUGACGGUACUGUGAUGUCCUGGAAAAUCUUGGGCACUUGAUUAUUUACCUUGAUUACUAAAUAGCAUAGCCCCCAUGGAGUCAAAUAUGUCCAUUCUUUGUCAUUUGGUCAGCGCUCAUGAGUUUUCCUGUACAUAAUUGAAAAUUAUAAAUUACCUUGGUUCAUUGAGUCAAUAUGAUCUCCUAGAGUUCGUUCUAAUUUUCUAGCAACUACCUAUAAAUCUGUCAUGUGGGUUAGGCUCUUGUUAGUGAUAUUGUUGAGAUGGCGAGUUAUGCAUAUAACUCUUUGUAUAUGGCAACUAUCAAAUGUUUGUAUUGAUAGCUCUAUCUUUUAUUGGUUCAUGAGUUCUUAUUGAUUAAUAUCGCAAUAAUCAUGUUUGACUGAAAUAAUCAGGUGGACCAGUUGCUAUCGUCUUCUGCAAGAAACAAUACAGAACUACUAGUCACUGGAUGUAGAUGUUUUUCUUGGAAUCAAGUGUUUCUGACCUUUGAUUCAUUUACAGAAAUUAAGUUCGAUUGUAUUAGAAGAGAUGCGAAUUAGUAACUGUAUUGAUGUCACAAGUGAUUGAUUUUGAUAUGCAGUUCUGAAUAUGCAAGUAUUGGAAUGAUUUGUGGACUACUUUUACUAAAUUUUUUUGUUUUUUCAAUACCCGUUUCUCCUGAGGGUUACAUCCUGACAGGGAUAAGUAGGCUAUUUCCUGUCUGCCCAAAACCGUCA
Molecule: long non-coding RNA, 2191 nt
Organism: Triticum dicoccoides
Lineage: Eukaryota; Viridiplantae; Streptophyta; Magnoliopsida; Poales; Poaceae
Exons: 3
Source: RefSeq, a predicted model, not a curated record